GACGAACGCUGGCGGCGUGCCUAAUACAUGCAAGUCGAACGCAGUGGGGACGGGUGAGUAACACGUGGGUAACCUCCCAUCAGAGGGGAUAACACUUGGAAACAGGUGCUAAACCGAUACUGAUGGAUGGUCCCGCGGUGCAUUAGCUAGUUGGUGAGGUAACGGCUCACCAAGGCCACGAUGCAUAGCCGACCUGAGAGGGGGAUCGGCCACAUGGGGACUGGGACACGGCACAGAAUCCUACGGGAGGGAGCAGUAGGGAAUCUUCGGCAAUGAACGAAAGUCUGACCGAGCAACGCCGCGGGAGUGAAGAAGGUUUUCGGAUCGUAAAGCUCUGUUGUUAGAGAAGCGGUAUCUAACCAGAAAGCAACGGCUAACUACGUGCCAGCAGCCGCGGUAAUAC
Molecule: ribosomal RNA, 403 nt
Filed under: uncultured bacterium
Lineage: Bacteria
Description: partial 16S ribosomal RNA
Rfam family: Bacterial small subunit ribosomal RNA
Source: RNAcentral